AUAGGGAAGCCGUAGAGAAAUCGAGUCCGAAUAGGGCGAUCAGUCGCUGGGUGUAGACCCGAAACCAAGUGAUCUACUCAUGGCCAGGAUGAAGGUGCGGUAACACGCCCUGGAGGUCCGAACCCACUAAUGUUGAAAAAUUAGGGGAUGAGCUGUGGGUAGGGGUGAAAGGCUAAACAAACUUGGAAAUAGCUGGUUCUCUCCGAAAACUAUUUAGGUAGUGCCUCAAGUAUCACCAUCGGGGGUAGAGCACUGUUAUGGCUAGGGGGUCAUUGCGACUUACCAAACCAUUGCAAACUCCGAAUACCGAUGAGUGCGAGCUUGGGAGACAGACGUCGGGUGCUAACGUCCGGCGUCAAGAGGGAAACAACCCAGACCGCCAGCUAAGGUCCCAAAGAUUGGCUAAGUGGAAAACGAAGUGGGAAGGCUAAAACAGUCAGGAUGUUGGCUUAGAAGCAGCCAUCAUUUAAAGAAAGCGUAAUAGCUCACUGAUCGAGUCGUCCUGCGCGGAAGAUGUAACGGGGCUAAGCCAGUCACCGAAGCUGCGGAUAUCCUUUAUUGGAUAUGGUAGGAGAGCGUUCUGUAAGCCUGCGAAGGUGUCUUGUAAAGGAUGCUGGAGGUAUCAGAAGUGCGAAUGCUGACAUGAGUAGCGAUAAUGGGGGUGAAAAGCCUCCACGCCGUAAGCCCAAGGUUUCCUGUUCAACGUUCAUCGGAGCAGGGUGAGUCGGCCCCUAAGGCGAGGCAGAGAUGCGUAGCUGAUGGGAAGCAGGUUAAUAUUCCUGCACCGUCGUAUGAUGCGAUGGGGGGACGGAUCGCGGAAGGUUGUCUGACUGUUGGAAUAGUCAGUUUCUGUCUCAUAGAAGGCGCUUAGGCAAAUCCGGGCGCGGAAUUCAAGGGGAUGGGACGAGUGAACUUGUUCACGAAGCAAUCGGAAGUGGUUCCAAGAAAAGCCUCUAAGCUUCAGUCAUACGAGACCGUACCGCAAACCGACACAGGUGGGCGAGAUGAGUAUUCUAAGGCGCUUGAGAGAACUCGGGAGAA
RNAcentral lists this ribosomal RNA (1041 nucleotides) under Janthinobacterium sp. SUN026. Its description in RNAcentral is "partial 23S ribosomal RNA". It matches the Rfam family "Bacterial large subunit ribosomal RNA", at positions 657 to 1708 of the family's 2925-position model. RNAcentral also lists the same sequence under 1 other name. Lineage: Bacteria; Pseudomonadati; Pseudomonadota; Betaproteobacteria; Burkholderiales; Oxalobacteraceae. The record is from RNAcentral.